ACGCUCGACACCUACGGGAGGCAGCAGUGGGGAAUAUUGCACAAUGGGGGAAACCCUGAUGCAGCGACGCCGCGUGAGUGAAGAAGUAUUUCGGUAUGUAAAGCUCUAUCAGCAGGGAAGAAGAUGACGGUACCUGAGUAAGAAGCCCCGGCUAACUACGUGCAAGCAGCCGGCGGUAAUCUGAGCGGGCUGGCAAGGC
This 199-nucleotide ribosomal RNA is filed under the name uncultured bacterium. Its description in RNAcentral is "partial 16S ribosomal RNA". It matches the Rfam family "Bacterial small subunit ribosomal RNA", at positions 328 to 539 of the family's 1533-position model. The record is from RNAcentral.